This 73-nucleotide transfer RNA is filed under the name Thermoleophilia bacterium. RNAcentral describes it as "tRNA-Thr". It matches the Rfam family "tRNA". Rfam says of the family: Transfer RNA (tRNA) molecules are approximately 80 nucleotides in length. Their secondary structure includes four short double-helical elements and three loops (D, anti-codon, and T loops). Further hydrogen bonds mediate the characteristic L-shaped molecular structure. tRNAs have two regions of fundamental functional importance: the anti-codon, which is responsible for specific mRNA codon recognition, and the 3' end, to which the tRNAs corresponding amino acid is attached (by aminoacyl-tRNA synthetases). tRNAs cope with the degeneracy of the genetic code in two manners: having more than one tRNA (with a specific anti-codon) for a particular amino acid; and 'wobble' base-pairing, i.e. permitting non-standard base-pairing at the 3rd anti-codon position. Lineage: Bacteria; Bacillati; Actinomycetota; Thermoleophilia. The record is from RNAcentral.
GCCGAUGUAGCUCAGCUGGUAGAGCACUUCACUCGUAAUGAAGGGGUCAGCGGUUCGAGUCCGCUCAUCGGCU